This 253-nucleotide ribosomal RNA is filed under the name uncultured bacterium. RNAcentral describes it as "partial 16S ribosomal RNA". It matches the Rfam family "Bacterial small subunit ribosomal RNA", at positions 524 to 776 of the family's 1533-position model. The record is from RNAcentral.
UACGAAGGGGGCUAGCGUUGUUCGGAAUCACUGGGCGUAAAGCGCACGCAGGCGGAUUGAUAAGUCGGGGGUGAAAUCCCGGGGCUCAACCUCGGAAUUGCCUUCGAUACUGUCUGUCUUGAGUCCGGGAGAGGUGAGUGGAAUUCCUAGUGUAGAGGUGAAAUUCGUAGAUAUUAGGAAGAACACCAAUGGCGAAGGCAGCUCUCUGGGACGGUACUGACGCUGAGACGCGAAAGCGUGGGGAGCGAACAGG